Molecule: unclassified non-coding RNA, 403 nt
Filed under: uncultured Inocybe
Lineage: Eukaryota; Fungi; Basidiomycota; Agaricomycetes; Agaricales; Cortinariaceae
Description: sequence contains ITS2
Rfam family: 5.8S ribosomal RNA (bases 1-154)
Source: RNAcentral
AACUUUUGGCAAUGGAUCACUUGGCUCUCGCAUCGAUGAAGACCGCAGCGAAAUGCGAUAAGUAAUGUGAAUUGCAGAAUUCAGUGAAUCAUAGAAUCUUUGAACGCAUCUUGCGCUCCUUGGUAUUCCGAGGAGCAUGCCUGUUUGAGGGUCAUUGAACUUAUCAACCACUUACUUCAUUGAUUUGUGGCUUGGACGUGGGGUGUGCGGGCCUUUCUCGAGGUCGGCUCCCCUGAAAUGCAUUAGCGGUAUCUUGAGCUUACCACUAUGUAGGUGUGAUAAAAAUCUCUAUGCCUGUCUGGUAUGCUGUGGUUGUGCUGCUCGUAACACGAACUCUGAUGAAUUUGACCUCAAAUCAGGCAGGACUACCCGCUGAACUUAAGCAUAUCAAUAAGCGGAGGCU